ACCUGGUUGAUCCUGCCAGUAGCAUAUGCUUGACUUGAAGAUUAAGCCAUGCAUGUCUAAGUAUAAGUUAUAUAUUGCAAAACUGCGAAUGGCUCAUUAAAACAGUUAUAAUUUAUUUGAUGAUUUUUUUACAUGGAUAACCGUGGGAAACUAGGGCUAAUACAUGCAUAAAAGCCGAAAGGCCGUAUUUAUUAGUUUCACACCAAUAUAGCUCAGCUAUUUUGUGAGGAAUCAUAAUAACUUUUCAAAGCGCAGCAAUGCGCUACUUCAUUCAAGUUUCUGCCCUAUCAGCUCUCGAUGGUAGUAUUGGACUACCAUGGCUAUAACGGGUAACGGAGAAUUGGGGUUCGAUUCCGGAGAGGGAGCCUGAGAAACGGCUACCAUUUCUAAGGAAGGCAGCAGGCGCGUAAAUUACCCAAUCCUAAUUCAGGGAGGUAGUUAAUAGAAAUAAUAGGUUCGGCUCUUUGAGCUCUGAACAUAUAAUGAGAUAAAUUUAAAAUACUUUUUGAAUCCUAUUGGAGGGCAAGUCUGGUGCCAGCAGCCGCGGUAAUUCCAGCUCCAAUAGCGUAUAUUAAAGUUGUUGCAGUUAAAAAGCUCGUAGUUGAAAUUCCGGCGUUUUUGCCCUGCUGUCUGGAAAGGCUAGCGAUACCGUAAAAAGUUUUGCUUGUUUGAACAGACUUUUACUGUGAACAAAUUAAAGUGCUUAAAGCAGGCUUUUGCUUGAAUAGUCUAGCAUGGAAUAAUAAAAUAUGACUUUAUUCAUUUUAUUGGUUCUUGGAUAAAGUAAUGGUUAACAGGAACAGUUGGGGGCAUUUGUAUUUAGUGGUCAGCGGUGAAAUGCAUAAAUCCACUAAAGACAAACUAAUGCGAAAGCAUUUGCCAAGGAUGUUUUCAUUAAUCAAGAACGAAAGUUAGGGGAUCAAAGACGAUUAGAUACCGUCGUAGUCCUAACUAUAAACUAUACCGACUAGGGAUUGGUGAGGUAAACCCUCAUCAGCACCUAAUGAGAAAUCAAAGUCUUUGGGUUCUUGGGGGAGUAUGGUCGCAAGGCUGAAACUUAAAGGAAUUGACGGAAGGGCACUACCAGGAGUGGAGUCUGCGGCUUAAUUUGAUUCAACACGGGAAAACUUACCAGGGCAAGAGACAGAAGUGAUUGACAGCUUGAUAGCGCUUUCUUGAUUUUGUUGCAAGUGGUGCAUGGCCGUUCUUAGUUGGUGGAGUGAUUUGUCCGGUUAAUUCCCUUAACGAACGAGACCUUAACCUGCUAAAUAGAAGUAGUUAAUACCUAGCUAUAUUCUUCUUAGAGGGACUACUGGUGUUAAACCAGUGGAAGUUUGAGGCAAUAACCAGGUCCGUGAUGCCCUUAGAUGUUCUGGGCCGCACGCGUACUACAAUAAUAAAUGCAAUAAGUUGACCUAAUCCGAAGGGAUCUGGGUAAUCUUCAUAAAGUUUAUUUUGCUUGGGAUUGGGCCUUGUAAUUAUUGCCCAUGAACGAGGAACUCCUAGUAAGUAUGGGUCAUCAACCCAUGCUGAUUACGUCCCUGCCCUUUGUACACACCGCCCGUCGCUCCUACCGAUUCGAGUGGUUCGGCGAAUUCUCCGGAUUGAGCUAAAUUAUUUAGCUUAAAAAGUUGUGUAAGCCAUGUCACUUAGAGGAAGGAUAAGGCGUAACAAGGUUUCCGUAGGUGAACCUGCAGAAGGAUCA
Molecule: ribosomal RNA, 1705 nt
Filed under: uncultured eukaryote
Lineage: Eukaryota
Description: partial small subunit ribosomal RNA
Rfam family: Eukaryotic small subunit ribosomal RNA
Source: RNAcentral